RNAcentral lists this ribosomal RNA (594 nucleotides) under uncultured bacterium. RNAcentral's name for it is "bacterial SSU rRNA". It matches the Rfam family "Bacterial small subunit ribosomal RNA", at positions 218 to 810 of the family's 1533-position model. The record is from RNAcentral.
GACAGGGAUGGGCAUGCGGCGCAUUAGGCAGUAGGCGGGGUAACGGCCCACCUAACCGACGAUGCGUAGGGGUUCUGAGAGGAAGGUCCCCCACACUGGUACUGAGACACGGACCAGACUCCUACGGGAGGCAGCAGUGAGGAAUAUUGGUCAAUGGUCGGGAGACUGAACCAGCCAAGCCGCGUGAGGGAUGAAGGUACAGAGUAUCGUAAACCUCUUUUGUCAGGGAACAAAGGCGGGGACGUGUCCCCGGAUGAGUGUACCUGAAGAAAAAGCAUCGGCUAACUCCGUGCCAGCAGCCGCGGUAAUACGGAGGAUGCGAGCGUUAUCCGGAUUUAUUGGGUUUAAAGGGUGCGCAGGCGGUCUGUUAAGUCAGCGGUCAAAGCCCGGGGCUCAACCCCGGCCCGCCGUUGAAACUGGCAGUCUCGAGUUGGAGAGAAGUAUGCGGAAUGCGCGGUGUAGCGGUGAAAUGCAUAGAUAUCGCGCAGAACUCCGAUUGCGAAGGCAGCAUGCCGGCUCCACACUGACGCUGAGGCACGAAAGCGUGGGUAUCGAACAGGAUUAGAUACCCUGGUAGUCCACGCAGUAAACGAU